This 564-nucleotide long non-coding RNA is filed under the name Rattus norvegicus (Norway rat). Its description in RNAcentral is "long non-coding RNA NONRATT024122". Lineage: Eukaryota; Metazoa; Chordata; Mammalia; Rodentia; Muridae. The record is from RNAcentral.
GCCUUACCUGGGGAUCCAUUCCAUAUGCAGCCACCAACCUCAGUCACUAUUGCUGAUACCAAGAAGUGCUUACUGACAGGAGCCAGAUAUGGGUGUCUUCUGAGAGGUUCUGCCAGAGCCCUACUGAUACAGAUGAGGAUGCUUGCAGCUAACCAUUGGACUGAACAAGGAGUCCCCAAUGGAGGAGUUAGAGAAAAGACUAAAGGAACUGAAGGGGUUUGUAACACCAUAGGAAGAACAACAAUAUCAACCAACCAAAUCCCACCAGAGCUCCCAGGGACUAAACUACCAACCUAAGAAUACACAUGGAGUGACCCAUGACUCCAGCCAUAAAUGUGGCAGAGGAUGGCAUUGUCCAGCAUUAGUGGGAGGAGAAGCCCUUGGUCCUGUGAAGGCUCAUUUCCACAUUGUAGGGGAAUGCCAAGAUGUUGAGGUUGGAGUGGGUAGGUGGGAGUGGGAGCACCCUCAUAGAAGCAGGGGGAGGGGGAUGGGAACAUGGGCAAGGGGGGGGAAAGGGGAUAACAUUUGAAAUGUAAAUACAUAAAAUAUCCAAGAAAAAUAAAA